CGGGAUGUGGCACAGUUUGGUAGCGCGCAUCGUUCGGGACGAUGAGGCCGCAGGUUCGAAUCCUGUCAUCCCGACCA
This 77-nucleotide transfer RNA is filed under the name Mitsuokella multacida. Its description in RNAcentral is "tRNA-Pro". It matches the Rfam family "tRNA". From Rfam's summary of the family: Transfer RNA (tRNA) molecules are approximately 80 nucleotides in length. RNAcentral also lists the same sequence under 29 other names. Lineage: Bacteria; Bacillati; Bacillota; Negativicutes; Selenomonadales; Selenomonadaceae. The record is from RNAcentral.